CGAGUGGAGGGGAUAACUACUGGAAACGGUAGCUAGUACCGCAUAACGUCGCAAGACCAAAGAGGGGACCUUCGGGCCUCUUGCCAUCGGAUGUGCCCAGAUGGGAUUAGCUAGUAGGUGGGGUAACGGCUCACCUAGGCGACGAUCCCUAGCUGGUCUGAGAGGAUGACCAGCCACACUGGAACUGAGACACGGUCCAG
Molecule: ribosomal RNA, 200 nt
Filed under: uncultured bacterium
Lineage: Bacteria
Description: partial 16S ribosomal RNA
Rfam family: Bacterial small subunit ribosomal RNA
Source: RNAcentral